UCCCUGGUGGCCUAGUGGUUAAGGAUUCGGCAUUGUCACUGCUGUGGUGUGGGUUCGACCCCUGGCCUGGGAA
Molecule: transfer RNA, 73 nt
Filed under: Sus scrofa (pig)
Lineage: Eukaryota; Metazoa; Chordata; Mammalia; Artiodactyla; Suidae
Rfam family: tRNA
About the family: Transfer RNA (tRNA) molecules are approximately 80 nucleotides in length. Their secondary structure includes four short double-helical elements and three loops (D, anti-codon, and T loops). Further hydrogen bonds mediate the characteristic L-shaped molecular structure. tRNAs have two regions of fundamental functional importance: the anti-codon, which is responsible for specific mRNA codon recognition, and the 3' end, to which the tRNAs corresponding amino acid is attached (by aminoacyl-tRNA synthetases). tRNAs cope with the degeneracy of the genetic code in two manners: having more than one tRNA (with a specific anti-codon) for a particular amino acid; and 'wobble' base-pairing, i.e. permitting non-standard base-pairing at the 3rd anti-codon position.
Source: Rfam by way of RNAcentral